UCCUUCGGGGCAAGGUGAGGAGGAGCCAUCCUCCAAUUCCUGACCGGCGGUGAAAGCCCGCGAGCCUCACGGCAGAACCGGUGGAAUUCCGGUGCCGACAGUAUAGUCUGGAUGGGAGAAGGA
Molecule: non-coding RNA, 123 nt
Filed under: marine sediment metagenome
Also listed under: 1 other name
Description: FMN riboswitch aptamer (RFN element)
Rfam family: FMN riboswitch aptamer (RFN element)
About the family: The RFN element is a highly conserved domain that is found frequently in the 5'-untranslated regions of prokaryotic mRNAs that encode for flavin mononucleotide (FMN) biosynthesis and transport proteins. This element is a metabolite-dependent riboswitch that directly binds FMN in the absence of proteins.
Source: RNAcentral